CCCCUACUUUACAUACCUCGCUCUCCCCUACUUUACAUACCUCGCUCUCCCCCACCACUGCUGCUUUUUUUGGGCAAACUGUUAAAUUACCUUUUCGAGCUGUCUCCCAUAGCGACUUUUGUAACCCUAAUCCCAGUAUUGUUCAGCGAAUAGUUCAACAUCUUUCAUUGAAUUACAGUCGUAUAAUGACAUACAGUAUAUUCACUAUCGAGAAUGUUUCGACGCAUUUUAGAUAGCGAUAGGCAGCAUAGUCAGAUAUACAAGCGCCUGUCAAUCGACUACACAGGGAGCAAGUUGAGCGAGCCCCACCUGGACAGUGAAUCGACACUCGGCUGCCUUGAUGAGGAACGCUUCGAGCCUAGACUGUCGAUGCUCCCGGUGUUCUCCAUGGUAAAUCUUGGUCAAAUCACAGAUCCCUCAGAACUAUACAGGCCAGCCAACACAGAUUUCUGGAAAAAAGAAGACAGAAGAGCUUGUUUGGGUAGUUGGAGAGCUCCAGGUUCUUGCAGAGGAGGUAGCAAAAAUGAGAGACUGAGAAUGCGUGCAUCCAGUUGUGAUAUGGAGGAUCCCUGUAGCCUCUCUUCACCAUCAGA
Molecule: long non-coding RNA, 593 nt
Organism: Oncorhynchus kisutch (coho salmon)
Lineage: Eukaryota; Metazoa; Chordata; Actinopteri; Salmoniformes; Salmonidae
Exons: 3
Source: RefSeq, a predicted model, not a curated record